GCCGAGGUGGUGAAACUGGUAGACGCAGCGGACUCAAAAUCCGCCGGACUUCGGUCCAUGGGGGUUCGAUUCCCCCCCCCGGCACUA
RNAcentral lists this transfer RNA (87 nucleotides) under Fidelibacterota bacterium. RNAcentral's name for it is "Candidatus Marinimicrobia bacterium tRNA-Leu". It matches the Rfam family "tRNA". From Rfam's summary of the family: Transfer RNA (tRNA) molecules are approximately 80 nucleotides in length. The record is from RNAcentral. Lineage: Bacteria; Pseudomonadati; Fidelibacterota.